This 440-nucleotide ribosomal RNA is filed under the name uncultured bacterium. Its description in RNAcentral is "partial 16S ribosomal RNA". It matches the Rfam family "Bacterial small subunit ribosomal RNA", at positions 338 to 795 of the family's 1533-position model. The record is from RNAcentral.
CCUACGGGGUGCAGCAGUGGGGGAUAUUGCACAAUGGGGGAAACCCUGAUGCAGCGACGCCGCGUGGGUGAAGAAGCGCCUCGGCGCGUAAAGCCCUGUCAGCAGGGAAGAAAAUGACGGUACCUGAAGAAGAAGCCCCGGCUAACUACGUGCCAGCAGCCGCGGUAAUACGUAGGGGGCAAGCGUUAUCCGGAUUUACUGGGUGUAAAGGGGGCGCAGACGGCGAUGCAAGCCAGGAGUGAAAGCCCGGGGCCCAACCCCGGGACUGCUCUUGGAACUGCGUGGCUAGAGUGCAGGAGGGGCAGGCGGAAUUCCUGGUGUAGCGGUGAAAUGCGUAGAUAUCAGGAGGACCACCGGUGGUGAAGGCGGCCUGCUGGACUGCAACUGACGUUGAGGCCCGAAAGCGUGGGGAGCAAACAGGAUUAGAUACCCUUGUAGUC